Molecule: ribosomal RNA, 253 nt
Filed under: uncultured bacterium
Lineage: Bacteria
Description: partial 16S ribosomal RNA
Rfam family: Bacterial small subunit ribosomal RNA
Source: RNAcentral
UACGUAGGGAGCAAGCGUUGUCCGGAAUCAUUGGGCGUAAAGCGCGCGUAGGCGGCCUCAUAAGUCCGUUGUGAAAGUCAAAGGCUCAACCUUUGAAAGCCGAUGGAUACUGUGAGGCUAGAGUCCGGAAGAGGCGAGUGGAAUUCCUGGUGUAGCGGUGAAAUGCGCAGAUAUCAGGAAGAACACCCGUGGCGAAGGCGGCUCUCUGGGCCGAUACUGACGCUGAGGAGCGAAAGCGUGGGGAGCGAACAGG